This 737-nucleotide long non-coding RNA is filed under the name Malus domestica (apple). RNAcentral describes it as "long non-coding RNA (MDOM_LNC014031)". Lineage: Eukaryota; Viridiplantae; Streptophyta; Magnoliopsida; Rosales; Rosaceae. The record is from RNAcentral.
UUUUUUUUUUCUGAAAUUCAAAAAUUCAAAAAUUCUGAAAUUCAAAAAUUCGAAAAUUCGAAAAAACAAAAAAAUUCCCUAGGCCUCCUCUUCUUUGGGCCUAACAAAUUUCAUAACAAAUAUAUAUAAAGAAGGAGUUUUGGGCUAUCACUUAGAAAGGAAGUGCCUUAUUCGUCAACUCCCUCGACCGGAGACUUGGGGGACUCCUACCUAUGCUACUGCACCUUGAUACUCGGAAGUCUCACGGCCACUUAGUGACUUGGAUUUUUCAAGUCUCAAAACGAGAAGUUUUCGUCACUCGGGAAAUUAAGGGAGCACUACCUCAACCUACAUGCUUCACUCACAAAGCUUCAACAUACAAGCUUCAACAAAAGGAAAAAUUCAAAGAACUUAGUGAAGAAGGCCUUGGUGUAUUUAACACAAUACGUUGAAAUGAAGCAAGGCUUGUUUAUUGAUAUCUCCGAUAAGUUAUACAAAUAUGUACAUAUACAUGAAUCAAAAUAAACAAACAAGAGGGAGCCUUCACAAAGGUUGCUCAGAAGAAGUCUCAGCGGUCGGUAGAGCCCCAGAAAGAGGAGGCACCAGAGGGUGAUUAUUCGAAGCCUUAGUACUAGGCAGAACCCAGAAGGAGGAGGCACCGAAGGUUGAUCAUUUGGAGCUUCAUUACGCGGUACAGCCCCAGAAGACGAAGGCAAUAAAUGCUUUUGGAAUAAACCCACAAACCUCUGAUGAUCAAG